UACGUAGGUGGCAAGCGUUGUCCGGAAUUAUUGGGCGUAAAGCGCGCGCAGGCGGUCUUUUAAGUCUGAUGUGAAAGCCCACGGCUCAACCGUGGAGGGUCAUUGGAAACUGGGGGACUUGAGUGCAGAAGAGGAAAGCGGAAUUCCAUGUGUAGCGGUGAAAUGCGUAGAGAUGUGGAGGAACACCAGUGGCGAAGGCGGCUUUCUGGUCUGUAACUGACGCUGAGGCGCGAAAGCGUGGGGAGCAAACAGG
RNAcentral lists this ribosomal RNA (253 nucleotides) under uncultured bacterium. RNAcentral describes it as "partial 16S ribosomal RNA". It matches the Rfam family "Bacterial small subunit ribosomal RNA", at positions 524 to 776 of the family's 1533-position model. The record is from RNAcentral.